GAUGAACGCUAGCUACAGGCUUAACACAUGCAAGUCGAGGGGCAGCAUGGUCUUAGCUUGCUAAGGCCGAUGGCGACCGGCGCACGGGUGAGUAACACGUAUCCAACCUGCCGUCUACUCUUGGACAGCCUUCUGAAAGGAAGAUUAAUACAAGAUGGCAUCAUGAGUCCGCAUGUUCACAUGAUUAAAGGUAUUCCGGUAGACGAUGGGGAUGCGUUCCAUUAGAUAGUAGGCGGGGUAACGGCCCACCUAGUCUUCGAUGGAUAGGGGUUCUGAGAGGAAGGGCCCCCACAUUGGAACUGGGAAACGGUCCACACUCCUACGGGAGGCAGCAGUGAGGAAUAUUGGUCAAUGGGCGCAGGCCUGAACCAGCCAAGUAGCGUGAAGGAUGACUGCCCUAUGGGUUGUAAACUUCUUUUAUAAAGGAAUAAAGUCGGGUAUGUAUACCCGUUUGCAUGUACUUUAUGAAUAAGGAUCGGCUAACUCCGUG
Molecule: ribosomal RNA, 490 nt
Filed under: uncultured bacterium
Lineage: Bacteria
Description: partial 16S ribosomal RNA
Rfam family: Bacterial small subunit ribosomal RNA
Source: RNAcentral